Molecule: ribosomal RNA, 460 nt
Filed under: uncultured bacterium
Lineage: Bacteria
Description: partial 16S ribosomal RNA
Rfam family: Bacterial small subunit ribosomal RNA
Source: RNAcentral
CCUACGGGGGGCUGCAGUGAGGAAUAUUGGUCAAUGGGCGGGAGCCUGAACCAGCCAAGCCGCGUGAGGGAAGAAGGUACAGCGUAUCGUAAACCUCUUUUGUCAGGGAACAAAGGCGGGGACUAGUCCCCGGAUGAGGGUACCUGAAGAAAAAGCAUCGGCUAACUCCGUGCCAGCAGCCGCGGUAAUACGUAGGGGGCAAGCGUUAUCCGGAUUUACUGGGUGUAAAGGGAGCGUAGACGGCUUGGCAAGCCAGAUGUGAAAGGCUGGGGCUCAACCCCAGGACUGCAUUUGGAACUGUCAUGCUAGAGUGUCGGAGAGGCAGGCGGAAUUCCUAGUGUAGCGGUGAAAUGCGUAGAUAUUAGGAGGAACACCAGUGGCGAAGGCGGCCUGCUGGACGAUGGCUGACGUUGAGGCUCGAAAGCGUGGGGAGCAAACAGGAUUAGAUACCCUAGUAGUC